Molecule: long non-coding RNA, 3634 nt
Organism: Rhinopithecus roxellana (golden snub-nosed monkey)
Lineage: Eukaryota; Metazoa; Chordata; Mammalia; Primates; Cercopithecidae
Source: Ensembl
UGCUGCCUCAGCUGGCGUGAUCUCGUUCUGAAACCAAAUCUGGACCCUGGGCUCCGGAAUGCCGAUGGCCUGGGCAUCGCCCAGGCCACCAGCUCUUCCCUGGUGGCGAUGCCCCGGUACGGGUUCCGCUCAAAGCAGGCUCGCAGGGCCUCCCUUUGGCUCGGGGUCCAAACGAGUCUCCUUCGCCGUCCUCCCCCUCGGGCUUCCGCCUGGAGGGCGCUGUCGGAAGAGGUCGGGAGAGCCAUGGCGGGGAGACCUGGCCGGAAUUUCGCGGACAGACACGUACAGAGAGGCCGGCGGGCUCCCGUGCCCCUCAGUCGGCCUGUGCACGGCGCGCAGGUCCAGCCAGGAGGCCGGCCCAGCCGGCCAGCGGCCCUUAUAAAGGCCCACAGGCUUCACCCCUUCAGGAACGCGGAAGGAGCCCCUGGGAAAAGAAAAGACAGAAAAUCAUUUUUGGAUACUUGCAUUUUCAGCAUAAAGACUUUUCUAAAGGUUAGUUUUACAAAGAUAUUCCCGUAAGUGAUUCAUCAAAUAACUCACUUACUUGAAUGGUGUUCAUUCAUCUUUUAUUUCUAAUGAGCAGGCCUCUGAUAUGAUAACUGAAGUCAUAACCAUAGCCUUGGUUAGCUACUUUGCUGGGCAAUAGUGUUGAGCUACCAAUCAUCUCAGUCUAAGGGGAUUCCUGCAAAGUGAAACUUCUUGCUCCUUUCAUCAUAUUCUUAUCGGAAACAAUCCCAAAAACCUGGGUGAUGCCAUGUGAGAACAUGACUCUCCCUGGCAAAAAAAGGCUAUAGGGAGCACAGGAUAAACCAGAUCCUCAUAAAACUACAUAGCAGCUUAUGUGUGAAAAGCCAUACUAGAUUCACACAUUUUUGAAAAGUAUUAUUGAUGCAUUUCUCAUUGUUCAUUCAAAUUAUUCUGCCUUCUUUUGCCUUUUACUUCUCAUAAUUAGAGUUACCUCUUCCCAAAACAUGCGGAAGAUUUUAAAACUAUCCAUCUGUUAUCUCAUAUUUCCCCCAGUCCCUCCUAUUAGUUCAUUUUCAAUUUCGACUCCAAAAGACCACACUGGCAGCUUACCUCUCUGUCUAUGGCCUCCAGGAGGCUCCUAACUACUUGUCUUCAUUUCCUUGCUUAUCCUCACAUUUAUCUUUCCAUCUGGAAAAAAAUUAUGCUGUCAUAGAGAAGAAACCCUGUUGAUAACUGAAGUCAUAAUAAAACAUUUCUGAUAAAUAUUUUCUCAUACCUUUUAUUGCCACAGGAGCUUUUCAUUAAGCAAUCGUAAUUCAAAACAGAUCAGAGCACGGACACAGGAGCUGGACAGUUUGAUUCAUUUGGUUUGACCAAUUUCUAUAUUUGUGAUCUUGGACAAAUUGCUCAGCUGCUCUGUCCUUCAGGUUUUUUCUUUUUUUUAAAUGAACACGAGCAUAGUGCUUAGCAAAGUAGCUGUCUCAUAGUAACUACUAUAAAAAUGAUAAUAUUUUUAUUUGCAGAGAAACAAAAUACCAUCAUCAUGAAGGCAUGGAUCAGACAUCUUCUCCACUGAGUUCUUUCAGGUUCUCAGGGAAAAUCUGGUUGAUUAGGAAGAUUCCUGGUAAUGUGUCUUUCAGAAAAAAACAAUUUAAUUUACAUACAUAGCUUAAUUUUGUGUACUAAACAAUUUUAAAAUUUCCAUGGAUGUACGUGUUUUGGAAAUAUAUUAUGGUAGUGUUUCUAAGACGUUUAGGAGUUAAUUAGCCAAGUUUUGUGGUGCAUGCCUGAAGGCCCAGCUACUAAGGAGGCUGAGGUGGGAGGAUCACCUGGUCUCCUUGGGAGGUCAAGGCUGCAGUGGGUUGUGAUCUUGCCACUGCACUCCAGGCUGGAUGAGAAAAAAAGACCAUGUCUCAAAAAAAAAAAAAAAAAAAAGAAAGAAAGAAAGAAAGAAAGAAGAAAAGGAAAGAAAAGAAAACAAUGCCCACCCCAUGGGUUUAUAUUUUCUUCUUCGGAUUUUUGUUUGUUUGCUUUGUUUAUGCUUUUGAUUUUAGGGGGCAGCAGCUUCCCUAAAAUGCUAGAAGCCCACAGCAGAUUCAGAUCUACCAAAUAUAGUUUCGUUUUCUUCUACUGUUUUGCUUUGGAAAAAUGUUGAAAGAUAUUGAAUACUUAUAUACUGUGCUGGGUUUUGUUUCGUUAAUAUUUCCCAUCUCAUAUUUUAGAUAUAAAUAAAAAUUACAAUACUACUUGAUAUCUUUCUAAUCCCAAGCAUUCAUUUUUACUUUCUAUAUUUUAAACAUUACUGUUUCUUUAAUUGCUAUACCAUAAAUAUUUACAGGUUUUGAAUGAUAUGUACAGCACAUUUCUAAAUAUUUUAGGCAAUUGUCAAGACAACGCUGAUAGUCAGAGAAAGAUUCGUGGAGACAUGAAUCUUUCAUGAAUUCGUGGAGACACGAAAAGGGAUUUCAGGUCAGAAAAUCAGUAUCUAAAUAGACUUAAAUAAGUGAUUUUUUUUCAAAUAUGGUCAAUGGAAUGUAAAUUUUAUUAUGUACAUGCUUCUAUUAUGUAAAUUGUAUUAUUUUUAUGGCUACUAUAUAGCCAUAGGAAGAAUAUAACCAUGAAGAAGAAGAAAGUGAGGUAUCAAAAAACUGUGAUGAGAAUAGAAUCUUGGGGAAGUAAAAGUAAACCUCAAGGAAAGGGGAUUAAUAAACAGUAGUUGCUUCUACUAGUGUACUCUUGGAGAUUGUAGGUUCAGAAACCAACAUUAACACUUUUGAUAGUGAAUUUUGGAAAGCUUACAAAAUCACUGCAACUUGUCUUCAGCCAUAGGUCUGAUUCCUUGGAAACUUAUGGAAAAUACAUUGUACUGGGUAUAUUAACUUUCAACAAACUAACAUCUGGAGAUGUCUAGAGCUUCCUUUUUAGUCAACAUCUGCCAAAAAUGAUUUAGCCUUGGGAAUCAAAUCUAAAACCAACCAAAUCUCUGAGAUUCCUUUAGUGAUCAAGAAUAUGGGUAUUUUUUAUGUGAAUACAUCUUGACUUGGGUCUAGGUUUCUGUUUAAACCUGUGCUAGAAUCUCUGUCUGUAACACAGGUCAACAGCACUACAUCCCAAGAAUAAUGCUUGAAAAUAAUUAAUCAGUUCAUUUACUACUUAUAUGGUAAUUUGCUGUGCCAGAAAUUUGCCAGAAUUUCUGAAAAUGAGAUAGUUCAGAGAACGAGAUGCAACUUUCUUAUUAAAUUUUAAAAAAAUAGGUAAUAUAAUGACUUUCGCACAGAUAUAAAUUACUUCAUAAAAUAUCUUAUUCAGGCCGGGCGCGGUGGCUCAAGCCUGUAAUCCCAGCACUUUGGGAGGCCGAGACGGGGGGAUCACGAGGUCAGGAGAUCGAGACCAUCCUGGCUAACACGGUGAAACCCCGUCUCUACUAAAAAUACAAAAAGUAGCCGGGCGAGGUGGCGGGCGCCUGUAGUCCCAGCUACUCGGGAGGCUGAGGCAGGAGAAUGGCGUAAACCCGGGAGGCGGAGCUUGCAGUGAGCUGAGAUCUGGCCACUGCACUCCAGUCCGGGCGACAACGCAAGACCCCCCCUAAAAAAAAAAAAAAAUCUUAUUCAUUACUGAAGAAACCAGUAAAAUAUUACAAUUGGAUAAAAAUAGAUUUCAAAAUGCC